RNAcentral lists this ribosomal RNA (465 nucleotides) under uncultured bacterium. Its description in RNAcentral is "partial 16S ribosomal RNA". It matches the Rfam family "Bacterial small subunit ribosomal RNA", at positions 338 to 795 of the family's 1533-position model. The record is from RNAcentral.
CCUACGGGUGGCAGCAGUGGGGAAUAUUGCGCAAUGGGCGAAAGCCUGACGCAGCGACGCCGCGUGAGGGAUGAAGGUCUUCGGAUCGUAAACCUCUGUCAGCAGGGAAGAACGGUCACUGUGCUAAUCAGCAGUGAAAUGACGGUACCUGCAAAGGAAGCACCGGCUAACUCCGUGCCAGCAGCCGCGGUAAUACGGAGGGUGCGAGCGUUGAUCGGAAUUACUGGGCGUAAAGGGCUCGUAGGCGGUAUGUCAAGUCAAGGGUGAAAUCCCCGGGCUCAACGUCGGAACUGCCUUUGAUACUGGCAGACUAGAGUGUGUGAGCGGAUAGUGGAAUGCCAGGUGUAGCAGUGAAAUGCGUAGAGAUCUGGCGGAACAUCAGUGGCGAAGGCGACUAUCUGGCACAUAACUGACGCUGAGGAACGAAAGCGUGGGUAGCAAACAGGAUUAGAUACCCCAGUAGUC